CUGUUAAUGCUAAUCGUGAUAGGGGUUUUUGCCUCCAAAUGACUCCUACAUAUUAGCAUUAACAG
Pan troglodytes (chimpanzee) is the source of this 65-nucleotide microRNA precursor. Ensembl annotates it as ptr-mir-155. Its record names the gene ptr-mir-155. The record is from Ensembl. Lineage: Eukaryota; Metazoa; Chordata; Mammalia; Primates; Hominidae.